AUUAAUAAUUAAUAUAUUUAAUAAAAAUAAUUUUAAUUUAAUAAAUAUUUUAAUGGGGGUUAAAGUAUUUUUUAAAGCAAAAAUUUUUAAAUUUAUAGUUAAUUAGUAUUGUGAAAGAAUUUUGAAAUAUUAUGAAAAAUAAAAUUUUUAGAAAGUAAUUUUUAUUUAUUGUAUCUUGUGUAUCAGAGUUUAUUAAAAAUUUUUAAUUUAUAAAUUAAUUUCUCGAAUUUAAAAGAGUUAAAUAAUUAUUAAAGUUAUUGUAGCAAAAUUAUUUUAAAUAAUUAUUUAGAAAUGAAAUGUUAAUCGUUUUUAAAUAUAUCUAGUUUUUAUAGAAAAAAAUUUAAUUUUAAAUUUAAAAAUUAUUUAAUUAAUUUAUUAAUUAAAUAAUUAUUUUAAUUUUAUAAUUUAAGGGAUAAGCUUUAAAUUAAAAUUUUAUAAUAUUAAAUUUUUAUUUUGAAAAUUUUAUAAUUUAUAUUGUUAAUAAAUUUUAUUUUGUUAUAAAUAAUUUCAUUUUUUUAAAAUUUAAAUUUUAUUUAAUUUUUUAUAUAAAAUUUAUUUAUAAUUAUAUAAAGUUAAUUAUAAUGAUAAAAUUAGUAUAUUAUUUAAUAUUAAAUUAAAAUUAAUUUUUGAUUAAUAAUUAAAUUAAUUAAAAGGAAUUCGGCAAAUAUUUAUUUUCACUUGUUUAUCAAAAACAUGUCUUUUUGUUAUUUAAUUUAAAGUCUAAUCUGCCCACUGAUUUAUAAAAAUUGAAGGGCUGCAGUAUAUUGACUGUACAAAGGUAGCAUAAUCAUUAGUCUCUUAAUUGGUGACUUGUAUGAAAGAUUGGAUGAAAAAUAUACUGUCUCUUAAUUAAUAUAUAGAAUUUAAUUUUUUAUUUAAAAAGUUAAAAUAAUUUAAAAAGACGAGAAGACCCUAUAGAGUUUAAUAAAUUAUUUUAUGAAAGUUUUAUUUAUAAUUACUAAUAAUUUUAUAAAUUUAUUUAUUUUGUUGGGGUGAUAAAAAAAUAAAUUUAACUUUUUUUAAGUAAUUUACAUGAAUAAGUGAUUAAU
Molecule: ribosomal RNA, 1049 nt
Filed under: Biston falcata
Lineage: Eukaryota; Metazoa; Arthropoda; Insecta; Lepidoptera; Geometridae
Description: partial 16S ribosomal RNA
Source: RNAcentral